UACGGGGGGGGCAAGCGUUGUUCGGAAUUACUGGGCGUAAAGGGCUCGUAGGCGGCCAACUAAGUCAGACGUGAAAUCCCUCGGCUUAACCGGGGAACUGCAUCUGAUACUGGAUGGCUUGAGAUUGGGAGAGGGAUGCGGAAUUCCAGGUGUAGCGGUGAAAUGCGUAGAUAUCUGGAGGAACACCGGUGGCGAAAGCGGCUUCCUGGACCAGUACCGACGUUCAGGCACGAAAGCGUGGGGAGCAAACAGG
This 253-nucleotide ribosomal RNA is filed under the name uncultured bacterium. RNAcentral describes it as "partial 16S ribosomal RNA". It matches the Rfam family "Bacterial small subunit ribosomal RNA", at positions 524 to 776 of the family's 1533-position model. The record is from RNAcentral.